AAACGAUAGCUAAUACCGCAUAACAAUGGAUGACACAUGUCAUUUAUUUNAAAGGGGCGAAUUGCUCCACUACAAGAAUGGACCUGCGUUGUAUUAGCUAGUAGGUGAGGUAAUGGCUCACCUAGGCGACGAUACAUAGCCGACCUGAGAGGGUGAUCGGCCACACUGGGACUGAGACACGGCCCAGACUCCUACGGGAGGCAGCAUG
This 208-nucleotide ribosomal RNA is filed under the name uncultured bacterium. RNAcentral's name for it is "partial 16S ribosomal RNA". It matches the Rfam family "Bacterial small subunit ribosomal RNA", at positions 154 to 353 of the family's 1533-position model. The record is from RNAcentral.